AUUAGAUUAAAAACCAAUGCCCUUCGGGGCUCUCUGGUGAUUCAUAAUAACUUCUCGAAUCGCACGGCCUUGCGCCGGCGAUGGUUCAUUCAAAUUUCUGCCCUAUCAACUUUCGACGGCUGGGUCUUGGCCAGCCGUGGUGACAACGGGUAACGGAGGGUUAGGGCUCGACCCCGGAGAAGGAGCCUGAGAAACGGCUACUACAUCCAAGGAAGGCAGCAGGCGCGCAAAUUACCCAAUCCCGACACGGGGAGGUAGUGACAAUAAAUACUGAUACAGGGCUCUUUCGGGUCUUGUAAUUGGAAUGAGUACAAUUUAAAUCCCUUAACGAGGAACAAUUGGAGGGCAAGUCUGGUGCCAGCAGCCGCGGUAACUCCAGCUCCAAUAGCGUAUAUUAAAGUUGUUGAGGUUAAAAAGCUCGUAGUUGAACCUUGGGCCUAGCCGGCCGGUCCGCCUCACCGCGUGCACUGGCUCGGCUGGGUCUUUCCUUCUGGAGAGCCGCAUGCCCUUCACUGGG
This 517-nucleotide ribosomal RNA is filed under the name uncultured fungus. RNAcentral describes it as "SSU rRNA". It matches the Rfam family "Eukaryotic small subunit ribosomal RNA", at positions 209 to 726 of the family's 1831-position model. Lineage: Eukaryota; Fungi. The record is from RNAcentral.